RNAcentral lists this ribosomal RNA (317 nucleotides) under uncultured Staphylococcus sp. Its description in RNAcentral is "bacterial SSU rRNA". It matches the Rfam family "Bacterial small subunit ribosomal RNA", at positions 28 to 334 of the family's 1533-position model. The record is from RNAcentral. Lineage: Bacteria; Bacillati; Bacillota; Bacilli; Caryophanales; Staphylococcaceae.
GAUGAACGCUGGCGGCGUGCCUAAUACAUGCAAGUCGAGCGAACAGACGAGGAGCUUGCUCCUUUGACGUUAGCGGCGGACGGGUGAGUAACACGUAGGUAACCUACCUAUAAGACUGGGAUAACUUCGGGAAACCGGAGCUAAUACCGGAUAAUAUUUCGAACCGCAUGGUUCGAUAGUGAAAGAUGGCUUUGCUAUCACUUAUAGAUGGACCUGCGCCGUAUUAGCUAGUUGGUAAGGUAACGGCUUACCAAGGCAACGAUACGUAGCCGACCUGAGAGGGUGAUCGGCCACACUGGAACUGAGACACGGUCCAG